CUCGGAUCAGGUAGGGAUACCCGCUGAACUUAAGCAUAUCAAUAAGCGGAGGAAAAGAAACCAACAGGGAUUGCCCUAGUAACGGCGAGUGAAGCGGCAACAGCUCAAAUUUGAAAGCUAGCCUUCGGGUUCGCAUUGUAAUUUGUAGAGGAUGCUUUGGGUAAAACGCCAGUCUAAGUUCCUUGGAACAGGACGUCAUAGAGGGUGAGAAUCCCGUAUGUGACUGGAAAUGUUAACCUAUGUAAAGCUCCUUCGACGAGUCGAGUUGUUUGGGAAUGCAGCUCUAAAUGGGAGGUAAAUUUCUUCUAAAGCUAAAUAUUGGCGAGAGACCGAUAGCGCACAAGUAGAGUGAUCGAAAGAUGAAAAGCACUUUGGAAAGAAGAGUUAAAAAGCACGUGAAAAUUGUUGAAAAGGGAAGCGCUUGCAAUCAGACUUGUUUAAACUGUUCGGCCGGUCUUCUGACCGGUUUACUCAGUUUGGACAGGCCAGCAUCAGUUUCGGCGGCCGGAUAAAGGCUCUGGGAAUGUGGCCUCCACUUCGGUGGAGGUGUUAUAGCCCAGUGUGUAAUACGGCCAGCCGGGACUGAGGUCCGCGC
Molecule: ribosomal RNA, 595 nt
Filed under: Aureobasidium sp.
Lineage: Eukaryota; Fungi; Ascomycota; Dothideomycetes; Dothideales; Saccotheciaceae
Description: partial large subunit ribosomal RNA
Rfam family: Eukaryotic large subunit ribosomal RNA
Source: RNAcentral